GAAGAGGCUGUGCAGGUGCUACACUGGUGCCUGGAGGCUGUUAUGGACUGGAUGAAGGCCAAUAAAUUGAGGCUGAAAAUACAGAGGUGCUGUGGAUGCAGCAGAGAAAUGAAUUAAAUCUUGCAAAGUGCUGCCGGGCUUUAAUUUACACAUUUGCUUUCAAGUUGACCAGUCUUUGGCAAAUUCUGAUUAUACAACUACAACUUCAGUUUACACCAA
Molecule: long non-coding RNA, 219 nt
Organism: Lacerta agilis (Sand lizard)
Lineage: Eukaryota; Metazoa; Chordata; Lepidosauria; Squamata; Lacertidae
Exons: 2
Source: RefSeq, a predicted model, not a curated record